GGCCUUUUCCUCUAAUGGUUAGGAGGCCGGCCUUUCACGCCGGAAAUGUGAGUUCAACUCUCGCAAAGGUCACCA
RNAcentral lists this transfer RNA (75 nucleotides) under bacterium. RNAcentral describes it as "tRNA-Glu". It matches the Rfam family "tRNA". From Rfam's summary of the family: Transfer RNA (tRNA) molecules are approximately 80 nucleotides in length. Their secondary structure includes four short double-helical elements and three loops (D, anti-codon, and T loops). The record is from RNAcentral. RNAcentral also lists the same sequence under 1 other name.